RNAcentral lists this unclassified non-coding RNA (244 nucleotides) under Hevea brasiliensis (rubber tree). Lineage: Eukaryota; Viridiplantae; Streptophyta; Magnoliopsida; Malpighiales; Euphorbiaceae. The record is from RNAcentral.
AAUUCAAGACUGUGAAGCGCGCCGGUAAUUCACAAGAACUUUCUCCCAGAUCUGGUCCUGUAGCUAAGAAGCGUAAAAUAAAGCACAAAGAAGACGGAGUCAACCACCCGGUAACAGGUACCAGCGCUUCAAAUCAUGACAUAGAUAAUGGUUCUGAAUUUAAAAUUGUUGGAAAUGAUACUACUUUGACAAAUUCUAACAAAGGAGAGCGGGAAAAUAUAAACAUGAAACUGGUAGAUGUCAG